Molecule: ribosomal RNA, 301 nt
Filed under: uncultured bacterium
Lineage: Bacteria
Description: partial 16S ribosomal RNA
Rfam family: Bacterial small subunit ribosomal RNA
Source: RNAcentral
CAGCAGCCGCGGUAAUACGUAGGGUGCAAGCGUUAAUCGGAAUUACUGGGCGUAAAGCGUGCGCAGGCGGUUAUAUAAGACAGAUGUGAAAUCCCCGGGCUCAACCUGGGAACUGCAUUUGUGACUGUAUAGCUAGAGUACGGCAGAGGGGGAUGGAAUUCCGCGUGUAGCAGUGAAAUGCGUAGAUAUGCGGAGGAACACCGAUGGCGAAGGCAAUCCCCUGGACCUGUACUGACGCUCAUGCACGAAAGCGUGGGGAGCAAACAGGAUUAGAUACCCGAGUAGUCCCUGUCUCUUAUAC